UUGAACGCUGGCGGAAUGCUUUACACAUGCAAGUCGAGCGGCAGCGCGGGGCAACCUGGCGGCGAGCGGCGAACGGGUGAGUAAUGUAUCGGAACGUACCCCGUCGUGGGGGAUAACACAGCGAAAGCUGUGCUAAUACCGCAUACGUCCUGAGGGAGAAAGCGGGGGAUCGCAAGACCUCGCGCGUUUGGAGCGGCCGAUAUCUGAUUAGCUAGAUGGUGGGGUAAAGGCUCACCAUGGCGACGAUCAGUAGCUGGUCUGAGAGGAUGAUCAGCCACACUGGAACUGAGACACGGUCCAGACUCCUACGGGAGGCAGCAGUGGGGAAUUUUGGACAAUGGGGGAAACCCUGAUCCAGCCAUUCCGCGUGAGUGAAGAAGGCCUUCGGGUUGUAAAGCUCUUUCGGCAGGAACGAAACGGCGGAAUCUAAUACAUUCCACUAAUGACGGUACCUGAAGAAGCAGCACCGGCUAACUACGU
This 480-nucleotide ribosomal RNA is filed under the name uncultured bacterium. RNAcentral describes it as "bacterial SSU rRNA". It matches the Rfam family "Bacterial small subunit ribosomal RNA", at positions 30 to 506 of the family's 1533-position model. The record is from RNAcentral.